This is a long non-coding RNA of Xenopus laevis (African clawed frog), 2562 nucleotides long. RefSeq lists it as uncharacterized. The record is from RefSeq and is a predicted model, not a curated record. NCBI's taxonomy places the organism in Eukaryota, Metazoa, Chordata, Amphibia, Anura, Pipidae. The transcript has 4 exons.
UGGGACAAACUGGGUGCUUCUCCUGUGCUCUCCUCUUUCCUAAUAUGUACAUGGGAUUUUUCUCUGCAGUCAGUGUGAGAGCAGAACAAACCCACAAGCUCCGCUCUGUCCCGCCUCAGGGCUGGGUCGGCUGCUUGUUCAGCAUUGUUUCUCUCCCAGCCCGCCUCCUCUCCUUGAGUGAAGGGAAUGGCAGCGAAUCCCUGACAGUGAUGCAGGAGGACGGACAUGUCCUGUGUGCCUAAGAUCACCCUGAGCAGCUGCAUUAUCCUGGCAGCCUCCUCUGUCUCCAUCUGCUGCGCUUGAAUGAGGAGGGCUCCCAAUGCUUGUGCUGCCGGCUUUGAGAAGGCCAUGGCACGCAGGUGCUCUGAAGUCCUAGCAAAUCACCACUUACAGCUGCGGGGGUAAAGGUAGGAGAGGUGUUCUACUCAAAUGGACGUGGAUCUGUCUUGCUGGCACACACUUCCCUUCCAAGCAUAUUUCAGUUGAUGUCCGGAAUGUGAAAAGCUUAGAGAGAGUGAAACCCCUAGCUCAGGUUCAGUCAAUACAUAAUUUAAAGUGUUAUUGAUGGGUUUUGUGGCUGUGCUAUGUGUGAGAAUGCUGUGAUCCGACAACCUCAGCUUACAGAUACAGAGACGCAGGAAUUUCAGGUAUACCAUUUCCAUCCAAUUCACAUGCAGUCCUUGAGAGCAACCUGGCUGAUGUCGGUAAACAGCACGUGACCCUGUAAUGCAACCAAAUGUGACAGAGUAUGAUUUAAUACAGUAUAUGUGUCUUUGAGGAUACAUGGCAAUAAUAUAUGUGGAAUAAACAGCGAGUUUUGCAUAAUAUAUGUAUUUUGGUGCUUUCUUUUGUGUUGAAAAAAAAACACAUGAGUAACCUAAAUAUUUCACAAUUUUAAUACAAGUGUUAGUGUUUGAGACUACAUUCUGUGACCCAUGCAGUAAUGUAACUCACAACACUUGCAUUUAUUCCCCAGAGAAACUAUAAGGGAGGACAAUUGCUGUUUUAAGGUACUUUCAAGUUAGUAUUUUGCUUUCCAGUUCUUGCUUUUAAUCUCUGUAAAAUGUAAAUAUUAUUUGCCUGUGUGCUGAUACAGGGUGGGAUCUAUUAUCUGAUAUCUUGUUAUACAGAAAACUCUGAAAUAAAGGAAUGUAUUUCUGUAUUGAAUCCAAUUUUUUUUUAAAAAAAUCUCUGAUAUGACAAAACAAUGUAUUUUACAUAACUGAAGCUAGUAUCAAUAAUGUUAAAAACUAUCAUUUUUAUGUUUAAUUAUUUUUAGUAGCCUUAAGGUAUGGUCCAGGUAUGAAAAUCCCUGACCCUAAGCAAUUUAGAUAAUAAAUCUUUUGCCUUAUAUAUAUUUCUGCUUUAUAAUUUCCUUUAUUUCUGUGUUGUGAUUCAGUAACUAACUUUAAUUCUUCUGUUUUACAGUAUUGUGGCUGGGGGUGCAGUCUGAAGGCCAGUUAGGGUCAGAUUUUGGAAUUAUUCUUAUUCUACCCCAGAUACUCCUGAAAACACAGUUUUGGUGAAAUGUGUUGUAAACAAUGACUUGUACUAGAUAUUCUUGAAUCAAAGACUGAAGGGAGAUUAUACCUGUCUUUUCGUAAAUCUGUAACCUUAUUAUGAGCCAAAAGGGACUUUGAAAACAUGUUGCUACUGCAAAAGUUAAAGAGAUGGACAGUUCUGGGUUACCAGAACACAAACUUAAUUGGCUUAAUUGGAGCUGAAAGUGAUUCUGACAACUCAGUAUCAAAUUUGUAACUAAAUUAGCAUCAUUGCCAGGAUCUGAUACACUGGGAAUGGCAUAUAGCUUUGUUCCAAUUGCUGCAUGUUUGCUACAGCAGCACAAAACUGCAGGCUUGACUAUCUCCUUGUAGAAUAGUAACUUUGGGCAUAUAUAUUAGAGGGUGAAUGGACAGUUUGCCAGAUAAGAGCUAUGCUCACUUCUAUAGGAUUUUUAGUUAUCUCUGGAGGACUGUCCUUUCACCCUUGGAGAAAUAUGCAACUUUGUAUAAUUCUAAAAAUGUACAGACCAAUUUCAUUCAUGUACUAUGACAGUUAUGUGUAUAAACACACAGCCUUAUUAUUAUUAUUCAUUAUAAUAAAAUAAUAUUAUAAAAUAAUCUAAUGGAGCUAAUUCAUUAGAUGUUAUUCAGUCUUACUGUGUGAUGCAACAGGAGUCCCAAGAAUAAAUGAGUAAAUCCUCAUUCUCAGUUAUCACUCCAAUUCAAAAUGAAAGAAAGCAACAUGAAUGAUUGAUAAACAUUAUUCUACUGUUUUAUAAGAUCUUUUGAAAACAUUCCUUGAUGAACAAUGCAAUUCAGAAAUUCCUGGACUAACAUAUUUGCCUGUGUCUGCUGGGAACAAAAAAGAAACUGAAAAGAUUAUUAAAUAUAUGUACCGAAAUGCACAAACAUUUUUCCUGGGAGUUUGUGGUGACUUUAAGUGGUUUAUUUAUAGCAUUUAUUCUGUGUAUAUUUGUUUGCAACGUUUCAGUUGUAUGGUUACCACAUUUGUUACAAAUGAAAGCAAAAAAUUUAAAUAUAUAUUUACUAAUAAAAUUAA